UGGGGAAUUUUGGACAAUGGGGGAAACCCUGAUCCAGCCAUCCCGCGUGUGCGAUGAAGGCCUUCGGGUUGUAAAGCACUUUUGGCAGGAAAGAAACGUCGCGGGUUAAUACCCCGCGAAACUGACGGUACCUGCAGAAUAAGCACCGGCUAACUACGUGCCAGCAGCCGCGGUAAUACGUAGGGUGCAAGCGUUAAUCGGAAUUACUGGGCGUAAAGCGUGCGCAGGCGGUUCGGAAAGAAAGAUGUGAAAUCCCAGAGCUUAACUUUGGAACUGCAUUUUUAACUACCGGGCUAGAGUGUGUCAGAGGGAGGUGGAAUUCCGCGUGUAGCAGUGAAAUGCGUAGAUAUGCGGAGGAACACCGAUGGCGAAGGCAGCCUCCUGGGAUAACACUGACGCUCAUGCACGAAAGCGUGGGGAGCAAAGCAGGAUUAGAUACCCUGGUAGUCCACGCCCUAAACGAUGUCAACUAGCUGUUGGGGCCUUCGGGCCUUGGUAGCGCAGCUAACGCGUGAAGUUGACCGCCUGGGGAGUACGGUCGCAAGAUU
Molecule: ribosomal RNA, 548 nt
Filed under: uncultured bacterium
Lineage: Bacteria
Description: partial 16S ribosomal RNA
Rfam family: Bacterial small subunit ribosomal RNA
Source: RNAcentral